UACGGAAUACGGAAGGCAGCAGUGGGGAAUAUUGCACAAUGGGCGCAAGCCUGAUGCAGCCAUGCCGCGUGUAUGAAGAAGGCCUUCGGGUUGUAAAGUACUUUCAGUCGUGAGGAAGGUGUUAAGGUUAAUAACCUUAGCAAUUGACGUUAGCGACAGAAGAAGCACCGGCUAACUCCGUGCCAGCAGCCGCGGUAAUACGGAGGGUGCGAGCGUUAAUCGGAAUUACUGGGCGUAAAGGGCACGCAGGCGGUUAAUUAAGUUGGAUGUGAAAUCCCCGGGCUUAACCUGGGAAUGGCAUUCAAGACUGGUUAGCUAGAGUCUUGUAGAGGGGGUAGAAUUCCAUGUGUAGCGGUGAAAUGCGUAGAGAUGUGGAGGAAUACCGGUGGCGAAGGCGGCCCCUGGGACAAAGACUGACGCUCAUGUGCGAAAGCGUGGGGAGCGAAACAGGGAUUAGGAUAACC
This 464-nucleotide ribosomal RNA is filed under the name uncultured bacterium. Its description in RNAcentral is "bacterial SSU rRNA". It matches the Rfam family "Bacterial small subunit ribosomal RNA", at positions 330 to 787 of the family's 1533-position model. The record is from RNAcentral.